GAGUUUGAUCGUGGCUCAGAUUGAACGCUGGCGGCAUGCCUUACACAUGCAAGUCGGACGGCAGCAUGAUCUAGCUUGCUAGAUUGAUGGCGAGUGGCGAACGGGUGAGUAAUACAUCGGAACGUGCCCUGUAGUGGGGGAUAACUAGUCGAAAGAUUAGCUAAUACCGCAUACGACCUGAGGGUGAAAGUGGGGGACCGCAAGGCCUCAUGCUAUAGGAGCGGCCGAUGUCUGAUUAGCUAGUUGGUGGGGUAAAGGCCCACCAAGGCGACGAUCAGUAGCUGGUCUGAGAGGACGAUCAGCCACACUGGGACUGAGACACGGCCCAGACUCCUACGGGAGGCAGCAGUGGGGAAUUUUGGACAAUGGGCGAAAGCCUGAUCCAGCAAUGCCGCGUGUGUGAAGAAGGCCUCGG
RNAcentral lists this ribosomal RNA (415 nucleotides) under uncultured microorganism. RNAcentral describes it as "bacterial SSU rRNA". It matches the Rfam family "Bacterial small subunit ribosomal RNA", at positions 9 to 420 of the family's 1533-position model. The record is from RNAcentral.